UUUUAACUUUAUCCUCAAAAUUGUUGUUAUGGUUAGGAUUAUUCCCAUUUUAUAGAUAAGAAAGCUGAAGGUAAAAAAAAGUCAGUGACCCAUGUCUUCUAAUUUUAAAUCUUGUUCUAUUAGAGCAGGCUGCCUCUUCAACUUAAAGUUCUGGGGACAGUAAUGCCUUUGAGAGCUACUCCAAUUAUACUAGUCUCCCCUCACUUAUGGAGCCCCAAAAGACUGGCACCACUAAUAUCCCUCAAGUUUCAUAAGAAGCUUAUUCAAGAAGAUGCAUUUAAAACAUACGUGCUGAUGACAUCACAAGUUUAGUAACAGAUACUACACUUCUUGUACACUUUUUUGGAAAGAAAGGAAAAGCUGAGCUCAACUUUGAAGAUUUUUAUAGAUUCAUGGAUAAUCUCCAAACAGAAGUUCUAGAAAUAGAAUUCCUUUCCUACUCAAAUGGAAUGAAUACCAUCAGUGAAGAAGAUUUUGCUCAUAUUCUUUUACGAUAUACAAAUGUGGAAAAUACAUCAGUAUUUUUAGAAAAUGUGCGUUACAGUAUACCUGAAGAAAA
This 559-nucleotide small RNA is filed under the name Pan troglodytes (chimpanzee). RNAcentral describes it as "processed transcript". Lineage: Eukaryota; Metazoa; Chordata; Mammalia; Primates; Hominidae. The record is from RNAcentral.